This 229-nucleotide ribosomal RNA is filed under the name uncultured bacterium. Its description in RNAcentral is "partial 16S ribosomal RNA". It matches the Rfam family "Bacterial small subunit ribosomal RNA", at positions 568 to 796 of the family's 1533-position model. The record is from RNAcentral.
UGCGUAGGCGGCGUCAUAAGUCAGGGGUGAAAGCCCACAGCUCAACUGUGGAAUUGCCUUUGAUACUGUGGUGCUUGAAUCAGGUUGAGGUAGGCGGAAUGUGGCAUGUAGCGGUGAGAUGCUUAGAUAUGCCAUAGAACACCGAUUGCGAAGGCAACUUACUGGACCUGCAUUGACGCUGAGGCACGAAAGCGUGGGGAGCGAACAGGAUUAGAUACCCUGGUAGUCC